AACGAACGCUGGCGGCGUGCCUAACACAUGCAAGUCGAGCGCGAAAGUUCCUUCGGGAGCGAGUAGAGCGGCGGACGGGUGAGUAAUACAUGGGUAAUCUGCCCUCGAGCUUGGGAUAACCCCGCGAAAGUGGAGCUAAUACCUGAUAAGACCACGUGGCUUAAGCUGCGUGGUAAAAGGUGGCCUGUAUUUAUACAUGCUAUCACUUGAGGAUGAGCCCGUGGCCUAUCAGCUUGUUGGUGAGGUAAGAGCUUACCAAGGCUAUGACGGGUAGCUGGUCUGAGAGGACGACCAGCCACACUGGGACUGAGACACGGCCCAGACUCCUACGGGAGGCAG
This 339-nucleotide ribosomal RNA is filed under the name uncultured Pseudomonadota bacterium. RNAcentral describes it as "bacterial SSU rRNA". It matches the Rfam family "Bacterial small subunit ribosomal RNA", at positions 29 to 351 of the family's 1533-position model. Lineage: Bacteria; Pseudomonadati; Pseudomonadota. The record is from RNAcentral.